RNAcentral lists this ribosomal RNA (1306 nucleotides) under Triticum aestivum (bread wheat). RNAcentral's name for it is "partial small subunit ribosomal RNA". The record is from RNAcentral. Lineage: Eukaryota; Viridiplantae; Streptophyta; Magnoliopsida; Poales; Poaceae.
AAACACCGGCUGCGGGCGCAGAAGUUAUCUCACAAUGAAGAGGUGUAUCAACAUUAUGCCAGCAUGAAAGAAUUAUCUGAGAUGAUUGCAUCAGCAUACAAGGUAGCUAGUGCUAAACCCAAUAAUCAUCCGGCAACAACCCAGACGCAGUUCACACAUGGGGUUGCGUCUGCUAUCUGGGACAAGUACCCUGGGAUGGUGUGGCCACAUGUGGAGGGAAGUUCAGCAAGCUCUGCUAUGUGCUACAAUUACCCCGGAAAGCCAUGGGGACAAGUAGGGGAGAGUUCGGCCGGAGCACGAGUUUCUCAGACUAAUGCACGCCCACCUCCAGUUCUGAUACAUGGUACCAAGUCCAUCUGGGACCGUUACGAGGAGAGCCUGUCAUACAAACGCGAGGUGCUACCUAUAAGGAGCAAGGCACUUGAUGGAUAUGGACGCAACAUUUCCGUCAGCCUGGAGAGAGAGAUCAGUCGUACUGAAUCAGCAGGCAAGAUUGUCAUCAAUCUGGAGAGCGAUGAAAUGCAGAAAGACACCACGGACGACGUGCACGCCGCAGUUACUCUGCAGGAAGACACAAUGGACGAGGUGCAUGCCGCAGUUACUCUGCAGAAAGACACCAUGAACGAGGUGUACGCCGCAGUUACUCUGCAGAAAGACACCAUGGACGAGGCGCACGCCGCAGUUACUCCGCAUGAAGUGAACGAGGUGCCUGCUGCAAACAUGGGCGCUGGUUAUCUGGUGGAUCUAGCAGGCAACUACCACCCCGCUGUAGAGAAUGCGCAGUCUAAGCCUUCAGUGACUUGGAUUGGGAAGAGAUGGAGAAAUUCUGGGCGAACCAGAUGGAAGGACAGCAGGAGCAGCAAGGCCUUGACCUAGUGGAUCUGCUCCAGGUAGAUGGCAUUUCACCAGAGGAACUGCUCCAGGAAGACGAAGCCUGGAACCAGGCACUUCAGCCGGCAAACCCGGCGAAUGUCGUCAACAACGCACCCAUGGCUGAAGAACCUGGCGCUGGAGAUGCCCCGGUGUACGAUCCUGCGAACCAGUCCGGUGUCGCCGAAAAUGUGUUCUGGGUCUGGAGCCCCCAGUUUGCGGGCGACUACUACGGCAUGCCGUUCUAGGCCUGCCGGAAGAGGGGCAACUGAAGAGCUGCUUUAUCUCUGUCCUGUGGAGAAAUCCCCGGGAGAUAUAUGGGAGAGCUGCUGAUGCUCGGACAUAUAUCCAGUGCUGUGUGACAUUGGUUAAACCCUUUCGUUAAUAGGUUGUGUUAUGACAUUAUCAGUUUCCAGACUUUUACAUAUUAUCUUCC